Cyprinus carpio (common carp) is the source of this 1447-nucleotide long non-coding RNA. NCBI's taxonomy places the organism in Eukaryota, Metazoa, Chordata, Actinopteri, Cypriniformes, Cyprinidae. The record is from Ensembl.
ACUUCAAGCUUUCUGUCUGCUGAGCAGUGACCAUGUUUACUGUUGUCUUUAUUGAAUUUUUACUGCUUAUGGAGAGUGCUGGUGCAAAUACAAUAGAAUCUCUCUUACCAGAAAAGCAUGUUGUAGUUGGACAAAGUGCUGUUAUCUCUUGCAAAUACAGUGGCAUUGGGCCCAGCUUUCAGUGGUAUCGCCAAUAUCCAAGAUCCAGACCAGAGUAUCUUAUUUUUAACACAGAGACUGCGGUUUCAUCCGAAUCCACUUUACGUCUCAAAGCGAUGGCUAAAAAAGAAAUCACAGAAGUGGAGCUGGAGAUCUCAUCUACUGAAAUCAAAGACUCUGCUGUGUAUUACUGUGCCCUGGUGCCCACAGUGACAGGAAACCCACCUGCUCUGUACAAAAACUUAAUACAUGAACACAUCUUGCAUUACACAAACAUUGUGACACACCAGCUUCCAAUCACGCACAAUAGAUCAAUGAUGCAACUGUUCUUAUUUUUCCAAAUUUAAUGAAACACUGUUAGGUCUUCUGAUUUUAAGAAAAGGACAACCCAUCAUCCAAGAUAAAGCCUCAGCCAGGGGGUGGAGCAAAUUCACAAAGUCUUUGAAUGUGUGAAAGGCUGGUUCGUUUAGAGUCACCCUGGUUUGAUAGUUUUACAAUCAUUCAUCAUCAGAAACCAUGAUGUUUCUUUUUUGUUGGAUACCACUGACAAUACUCAUAGGUAAAUAAUUGAAUUCAUGAUUUAAUUCUUGUUUACUAAAAAUUACUUUAUUUUGAUGUGCUAUAUUAUAUAUAAAUUUGUGCACAAGUUUCUUACCUUCAGUGUUAUUUUAAUUAAUACAGUUGCAUUUUAUCCAUUCAGGAAAUUCCUUUGCUGACACAAUACAGCCAUUGUCUUCUGAAAGGCAUAUUUUCAAAGGCGACAAUGUGACUCUGUCCUGUAACUACAGCGGUUUUGUAAACAAUAUUCAAUGGUAUCGGCAAUAUGUGGGAUCUAGACUGGAGUUUCUGAUACUUGUAAAUGAAAAUUCAGAGGCAUCUGAGCAUUCUCUUCGUCUGUCAGCAAAAGACUCAAAAGAGAAGAAACAAGUGAUUCUUAAAAUCUCUUCUGCUGAAGUGACUGAUUAUGCUCUGUACUACUGCGCUCUGAGGCCCACAGUGACAGAAAGCCCAGAAGCACUGUACAAAAACUCUGAUUUCAGUCGGAUGAUUUUGUAUUUCGGCAUAACUUUUUUUUUUAUUAUUACAUCAUUCUUUCUACUUCAAAAUGUCAUGUUAUUUGCUUCAUCUUUGUAAUUAAUUUUGAGUUUUUUAGUGUGUGUGUUACUAAAUUUAUACUUAAAUGUAAAAUUUCCAUUAAUAAUCCAACCCUAUUCCAUUAUACAGAAGGCUUUAAUUUUCUGUUUGAUUUCAAUUUCUUAAAAUGGAAUAAAUAUUCAAUAUAUGUUCA